This 386-nucleotide ribosomal RNA is filed under the name uncultured bacterium. Its description in RNAcentral is "bacterial SSU rRNA". It matches the Rfam family "Bacterial small subunit ribosomal RNA", at positions 30 to 417 of the family's 1533-position model. The record is from RNAcentral.
AUUGAACGCUGGCGGCAUGCCUUACACAUGCAAGUCGAACGGCAGCACGGGGCAACCUGGUGGCGAGUGGCGAACGGGUGAGUAAUGCAUCGGAACGUGCCAUUGAGUGGGGGAUAACGUAGCGAAAGUUGCGCUAAUACCGCAUAUUCUGUGAGCAGGAAAGCAGGGGGACCGCAAGGCCUUGCGCUCUUUGAGCGGCCGAUGUCAGAUUAGCUAGUUGGUGAGGUAACGGCUUACCAAGGCGACGAUUUGUAGCGGGUCUGAGAGGAUGAUCCGCCACACUGGAACUGAGACACGGUCCAGACUCCUACGGGAGGCAGCAGUGGGGAAUUUUGGACAAUGGGCGCAAGCCUGAUCCAGCCAUGCCGCGUGAGUGAAGAAGGCCU